This 292-nucleotide ribosomal RNA is filed under the name uncultured bacterium. RNAcentral describes it as "partial 16S ribosomal RNA". It matches the Rfam family "Bacterial small subunit ribosomal RNA", at positions 505 to 796 of the family's 1533-position model. The record is from RNAcentral.
GUGUCAGCCGCCGCGGUAAUACAGAGACUGCAAGCGUUAUUCGGAUUCACUGGGCGUAAAGGGUGCGCAGGCGGCCGUGUGUGUCAGGUGUGAAAGCCCGGGGCUUAACCCCGGAAUUGCGCCUGAAACUACAUGGCUAGAGCAUUGGAGAGGGUAGCGGAAUUCACGGUGUAGCAGUGAAAUGCGCAGAUAUCGUGAGGAACACCAGAGGCGAAGGCGGCUACCUGGACAAUUGCUGACGCUCAGGCACGAAAGCGUGGGGAGCAAAAGGGAUUAGAUACCCCCGUAGUCC